Molecule: long non-coding RNA, 547 nt
Organism: Oreochromis niloticus (Nile tilapia)
Lineage: Eukaryota; Metazoa; Chordata; Actinopteri; Cichliformes; Cichlidae
Exons: 3
Source: RefSeq, a predicted model, not a curated record
CUGCAGCCAAGAAGAGUGCCUGACGAGCCCAGCUACUCCACCCUGCCUGCACUCUCUUCUUCACCUUUCUUGGCACUGUCCGUUGCAUUGAUUGGUUGAUCCCAGAUCACAAUGUGCAAACAAACAUAAUCUGAGAAGUCUCCUGCUUGACCUCGUCCAUCACCACUCCAAACAAGACUCAAUUCCUUAUGUAAUCCCACCCUCCUACACAACCUUCACAUACUUAUCUGCCACUCCCUAAUGCAGUGAUCAUGAUUUAACUCUGCAUGUACCAAAGAGUGAAACAUGUAUGUCUCUGGUGUUUCAAAAGCAGCAAACAUUUCUCCAAGAGAGAAUUUUAAAGCAGUGCUUUUCUUUGUCACUGACUGUAAUCUGCAGUUUUUCUGAACUGUCCUACAUCGAUGUCCUUAGUGAUGGGGUUGGGUUAUUGAUCUGCUACUCACAAAGCUGAAGCCAAAACAGCAAAUUGUUGUUUUUCCUGUCUUAGUUUAAUAACUGCAACCAAAGUCUUGUGUUUUCUUUGAAACACAACAGUCUUAAGUAUACU